CGAUUCAUACAUUCAUGUAUUCAUUAGAGAUUUAUCAGGCACUCAUCAGUGUUUACCCCAGCCUCAUCCUUGUCUUUUCUUGCCCUCCUGCCCAUUCCUCAUCCCUUGAAGACUUUGGCCCUGGACUCACAAUCUUCCCUCUCUCAAGUCUUCCCAUCACCAAUGUGAAUGAGCCAUCCUAACUCCUGGAAGCUCAAGGCCAUGACCUCCUCCAUGACCUUCUUUCCUGCUGUACUUCAGGGACUGCUCUUCCCAGGCUUGCUGACCUGUUCCUCCUCUCUUGCUCUCAGGAGAUCAGCUCCCCAUCAACUUCAGAGAGGAGAUAGAACCAGACGAGUCUUACUCUAUGCCCUGAGUAG
This is a non-coding RNA of Microcebus murinus (gray mouse lemur), 359 nucleotides long. The record is from RefSeq and is a predicted model, not a curated record. NCBI's taxonomy places the organism in Eukaryota, Metazoa, Chordata, Mammalia, Primates, Cheirogaleidae.